This 433-nucleotide ribosomal RNA is filed under the name uncultured bacterium. RNAcentral describes it as "partial 16S ribosomal RNA". It matches the Rfam family "Bacterial small subunit ribosomal RNA", at positions 29 to 507 of the family's 1533-position model. The record is from RNAcentral.
AACGAACGCUGGCGGCAUGCCUAACACAUGCAAGUCGAACGAGACAUUCGGGUCUAGUGGCGCACGGGUGCGUAACGCGUGGGAACCUGCCCUUAGGUUCGGAAUAACUUCCCGAAAGGGGUGCUAAUACCGGAUAAUGUCUUCGGACCAAAGAUUUAUCGCCUUUGGAUGGGCCCGCGUUGGAUUAGUUAGUUGGUAGGGUAAAAGCCUACCAAGGCGACGAUCCAUAGCUGGUCUGAGAGGAUGAUCAGCCACACUGGGACUGAGACACGGCCCAGACUCCUACGGGAGGCAGCAGUGGGGAAUAUUGGACAAUGGGCGGAAGCCUGAUCCAGCAAUGCCGCGUGAGUGAUGAAGGCCUUAGGGUUGUAAAGCUCUUUUACCCGGGAUGAUAAUGACAGUACCGGGAGAAUAAGCUCCGGCUAACUCCGUG